GGGAGAGAACUGAUCGCCGGUGAA
This 24-nucleotide non-coding RNA is filed under the name Arabidopsis thaliana (thale cress). The record is from RNAcentral. Lineage: Eukaryota; Viridiplantae; Streptophyta; Magnoliopsida; Brassicales; Brassicaceae.